RNAcentral lists this transfer RNA (77 nucleotides) under Candidatus Omnitrophota bacterium. RNAcentral's name for it is "Candidatus Omnitrophica bacterium tRNA-Arg". It matches the Rfam family "tRNA". Rfam says of the family: Transfer RNA (tRNA) molecules are approximately 80 nucleotides in length. Their secondary structure includes four short double-helical elements and three loops (D, anti-codon, and T loops). Lineage: Bacteria; Pseudomonadati; Candidatus Omnitrophota. The record is from RNAcentral.
GUCCCAGUAGCUCAGUUGGAUAGAGCGUAGGUUUCCUAAACCUAAGGUCGGAGGUUCGAGCCCUCCUUGGGACGCCA